AAUUUCCUUUACGCAAACACUACAGUUCUAAUGUUGCUUUAAAAGUGUGUUUUUUUUUUCUUCCUUUUUUUAUCUUUCUGUUUGUGUGUAAGAACAGAAUUUAGAUUAAAGCUUAGUCUCAAGCAACCUUAAAAGCUGCCAAAACAACAAACAAAAACCAAAACCACUGCUUCUAAGAAACAACUUUUGAUACUUACAUUGUUUAGUAUAAAUAAUUUGUGGAGUGUAAUUGAGUUGAUCGGAAAAUCAAGAAUCUGAUCGGAAAAACAAGAAUUUGGCCGGAAAAAUGAUGAUGGGUUCAACGAGAAAGAAUGAAUGAAUUCCAAGCAUUUUGGUGAAGUUUUGGAAGAAUUGCAUGCGAGAAAAGAAACGAAAAAGAAAAUCAAGAAUCUGAUCGGAAAAUCAAGAAUUUGGCCUGAAAAAUGAUGAUGGGUGUAAAAGGAAGAAAAGGGUGUUAUUAUUUAUCAGUAAUGUUAGUGUAUGGAGUGAUUUUUUUGCAUUGUUUGGUGAUGACGUCAUUUGCCGGAAAUGUGACGUAUGAUCAUCGGGCAUUGGUUAUUGAUGGCAAACGUAGAGUUUUAAUCUCUGGUUCAAUACAUUAUCCACGAAGUACACCUGAUAUGUGGCCAGACCUUAUACAGAAAUCAAAAGAUGGAGGGUUGGAUGUAAUAGAGACAUAUGUUUUCUGGAACAUACAUGAACCUGUUAGAAAUAAGUAUGAUUUUGAAGGAAGGAAAGAUUUGAUUAACUUUGUGAAGUUGGUGGGGAAAGCUGGCUUAUAUGCUCAUAUACGGAUUGGGCCUUAUGUUUGUGCAGAAUGGAACUAUGGUGGGUUUCCUCUUUGGUUGCAUUUCAUUCCUGGAAUUGAAUUUCGAACAGACAACGAACCAUUCAAGGCAGAAAUGAAGCGAUUCACGGCCAAAAUUGUUGACAUGAUCAAGCAGGAAAAUCUUUAUGCAUCCCAGGGUGGGCCUGUUAUCUUGUCUCAGAUAGAAAAUGAGUAUGGCAAUGGUGGUAUUGAGUCAAGUUACGGUUCUCGUGCCAAACCUUACGUCAACUGGGCAGCAUCAAUGGCUACAUCUUUGGACACGGGGGUGCCAUGGGUUAUGUGUCAGCAACCAGAUGCCCCCCCUCCCAUUAUAAACACUUGCAAUGGAUUUUAUUGUGACCAAUUCAAGACAAACUCUGAUAAAACACCUAAGAUGUGGACAGAAAAUUGGACUGGAUGGUUUCUUUCUUUUGGUGGUGCUGUCCCUUACAGACCUGUGGAAGACAUUGCUUUUGCUGUGGCUCGAUUUUUCCAGCGAGGUGGAACCUUUCAGAACUAUUACAUGUACCACGGGGGAACUAACUUUGGCCGAACCACUGGUGGACCCUUUAUCGCAACUAGCUAUGACUAUGAUGCUCCUUUAGAUGAGUACGGCCUUAUAAGACAACCAAAGUGGGGUCACUUAAAAGAUCUCCAUAAAGCCAUAAAGCUUUGUGAGGCUGCAAUGGUGUCAACUGAUCCAACCAUCACUUCUCUGGGAUCUAAUAUAGAGGCCAGUGUUUAUAAAACUGGAUCACAGUGUGCUGCAUUUCUCGCCAAUGUUGGUACGCAAUCUGAUGCAUCCGUGAGCUUCAACGGAAAUUCAUAUCAUUUGCCUCCUUGGUCCGUGAGCAUCUUACCUGACUGCAAGAAUGUGGCUUUUAAUACUGCAAAGAUUAACUCCGUAUCAACCAUCUCAAAGUUUGUUACUCACUCUUCGGAAGCUGAUGCUUCUGGUGGAUCGCUGUCGGGUUGGACUUCGAUUAAUGAGCCUGUAGGUAUCUCAAGUGACAACGCAUUCACAAAAACGGGGUUGAUGGAGCAGAUAAAUACUACAGCUGAUAAAAGUGAUUAUCUCUGGUACUCUCAGAGUGUCAAUGUGAAAAAUGAUGAGCCUUUCCUUCAAGAUGGAUCUGAAACGGUACUUCAUGUGGAAUCACUUGGCCAUGUUCUUCAUGCUUUCAUUAAUGGAAAGCUAUCAGGAAGUGGAAAAGGCAACAGUGGAAAUUCUAAAGUUUCAAUUGAAAUUCCUGUCACCCUUGUGCCUGGAGAAAUCAAAAUCGACCUGUUGAGUGUGACUGUGGGACUUCAGAACUACGGAGCAUUCUUUGAUCUAAAGGGAGCAGGGAUUACCGGCCCAGUGCAAUUGAAAGGUUUCAAAAAUGGCUCUACUAUUGAUCUUUCAUCGAAGCAGUGGAGAUAUCAGGUUGGAUUGAAAGGAGAAGAAUUGGGCUUAUCUAAUGGAGGUUCUUCACUUUGGAAGUCACAAUCUACAUUGCCUACAAACCAACCAUUAAUAUGGUAUAAGGCAAAUUUUGAUGCCCCUGCUGGUGAUACCCCUCUUUCGAUGGAUUUUACCGGAAUGGGUAAGGGUGAGGCUUGGGUGAAUGGGCAAAGCAUUGGUCGAUUUUGGCCUACCUAUUCUGCACCAAAUGGUGGUUGUACUGGCUCCUGCAAUUAUAGAGGAUCCUACAAUUCUGACAAAUGUCUCAAAAAUUGUGGAAAACCAUCCCAGCUGCUAUACCACGUUCCUCGUUCAUGGUUGAAAUCCAGCGGAAAUGUCCUAGUGUUGUUUGAGGAAAUGGGUGGGAAUCCUACAAAGCUGUCUUUUGCAACAAGAGAGAUACAAAGCGUAUGCUCACGGGUUUCGGAGGCUCAUCCACUUCCUAUUGACAUGUGGGAUUCGGAAGACGAUGCACGAAAGAAAGCAGGUCCUACUCUGUCUCUCGAGUGUCCUCAUCCUGAUCAAGUCAUUUCUUCAAUCAAAUUUGCAAGCUUUGGCACUCCUCAAGGAACAUGUGGAAGCUUUAGCCAUGGUCGAUGCAGGAGCAACCAUGCUCUUUCAGUUGUAAAGAAGGCUUGCAUUGGAUCAAAAAGGUGCAAUCUUGGAGUUUCAAUAAAUGUAUUUGGUGACCCAUGUACAGGAGUCACAAAAAGUUUAGCUGUAGAAGCUUCCUGUAGAUGAUGCCUCGCGGAACUAUUGGACCGAGAAGGCACAUCCCUAAGUGUAGAAGUGGUAGAAGAUAGCUGAAUGGAGUGAUGGUGUUUGAUAUUUGUCUUCCCCGCCCAUGAUUGGCAUCGGCACCCCUCUCUUGACUGGACUAACAUAGCCUGGCUGGCUUCCUCUGAGGGCACUCUGUUGGACAUGUGAGUGUUUUGUAGUAACAAGCUCCUGGCAUGGUGCAGAAAGCCCGUUCUUGGCCCGUACUUGGCAACGGGUCCAACACAACGUAACCGGGAUCUUCAGUGACUGCAUUAACCUCCUUGCCACUGCCUACGGGUGGACCGGCAAUGGUGACUUGUGAAAAAAUGGAUAAGAGGAGCAGAGCUACUAUUUGGCACAACAUUCUCCUAUCCAUCUUUACUAUUACUCAAGCUAAAACUGUUAUUGAAAUUUGUUUCUGUUUUUUGUUGUUGUUGAUAUCUUUGGAAUGAAAUGUUAACUGAUGGAUGGAAGAGGAGUUGAUGGGGUUGAUAUUUAUAUGUGUGGAAAUUAGAGUUGAGACUUAGAUUUCGGCUUAA
Molecule: RNA transcript, 3550 nt
Organism: Lycium ferocissimum
Lineage: Eukaryota; Viridiplantae; Streptophyta; Magnoliopsida; Solanales; Solanaceae
Gene name: beta-galactosidase 8
Exons: 22
Source: RefSeq, a predicted model, not a curated record